GAAAGAUAAAAGGUUGCUCUGCUCACAGGAGGACAUUAGGAGGAGAGUGGAUCACUUAAUCUUUCAUCAAGGGUUUUGCUGGUUUCAUAUAACUACAACAGUUAUGUGUAUGAAUCUUGAGAAGCCAAACUGGAGAAAAAAAUAUCCAAUCUUAAUAUGGCACCAGGCCACACCAAGACCAGAUGGAGAGAGAAAGAAGCUGUGGUGUUAAAAAGAGUAAUGAGACUGACCUCUUCUGAGUGAGUGCAGUGCUGAUCUAAUUGGUAAGUCUAUGUCAUGUCUACCUCUCUCAUCCUGUCCUCAUCAUUCUCGUUGAGUUCCCACU
Molecule: long non-coding RNA, 325 nt
Filed under: Macaca fascicularis (crab-eating macaque)
Lineage: Eukaryota; Metazoa; Chordata; Mammalia; Primates; Cercopithecidae
Description: lncRNA (ENSMFAG00000059692.1)
Source: RNAcentral